GCGGGGCCAGGUGAGAUGCCUGCUCAGCAUGGCCUUUGCUGACCCUUCAGGAGCUGGUGGCCCGUCACCGUGUCUUGCACUGGGAUGAAGUGUCUGGGUCGCUGGAUGCAGGGGACCUGGGAGAGGUGGCUCUCCCCAGAAGGGCUGACAUCUCCCCAGCAGCCAGGGUGACAGGCCUUUCCUUGAAGGGGACCUGGGGCUGUAUCCGGUGGCCGUCAGGGUGGGUCGGCCCCAGCAGGAGCUCUGGCCUGAUGGUCUGACAUGUUGUUAGACACCCACUAGUGAGAUGCACCGGGUCGGUGGCAUGAGUCUUGAGUUUAGGGCACGAGUCUGGGACUGGAUAUAAGCUGUGACUCACCAGCCUAGAGAUGGGUUGAAACCCAGGAACCAGGGAGACCACAUGGGGGCCAGGAGAGUGCCCAGCUGCGGUCUGAGGACAGUUUUUGAGCUGCUACACAACUUGGAGGUUGGGCAGAAGAGAGUGCAGAGAUAGAGAAAGAGCGUCCAGGGGAGGAUGAG
This 519-nucleotide long non-coding RNA is filed under the name Marmota monax (woodchuck). The record is from RNAcentral. Lineage: Eukaryota; Metazoa; Chordata; Mammalia; Rodentia; Sciuridae.